RNAcentral lists this ribosomal RNA (483 nucleotides) under uncultured bacterium. RNAcentral's name for it is "partial 16S ribosomal RNA". It matches the Rfam family "Bacterial small subunit ribosomal RNA", at positions 28 to 507 of the family's 1533-position model. The record is from RNAcentral.
GAUGAACGCUGGCGGCGUGCCUAACACAUGCAAGUCGAACGAAGCUUGACGGAUGAUUUCUUCGGAAUGAAACCAGAUAUGACUUAGUGGCGGACGGGUGAGUAACACGUGAGCAACCUGCCUUUCAGAGGGGGAUAACGGCUGGAAACGGUCGCUAAUACCGCAUGAUGUGUUCGGAUGGCAUCAUCUGAACAUCAAAGAUUUAUCGCUGAAAGAUGGGCUCGCGUCUGAUUAGAUAGUUGGUGGGGUAACGGCCUACCAAGUCUACGAUCAGUAGCCGGCUGGGGGGGAGGAGCGGCAACAGUGGGACGGAAAUCCGCCCCAGACACCUAGGGGAGGAGGCAGGGGGAAAUAGUGCAAAGGGGGGAAACCCCUGAUGCAGCACCCCCGCGUGAGGAAUGACGUUUUGGGGAGUGUAAAUUUUUUUUCUUAGUGCCGAAGACAGUGACGGUGGCUAAGGAAAAAGCGACGGCUAACUAGGUG